ACAGGUAGAACCGUGAAUACCGGAUAUUGGAUGUUUCAUGGCUUUGAUGUGAUUAUUGGCUGAUGUUUUAAUAGGCUGUACAUUUGGAAACUCCAGAUUCCCAUUCCCAGAUCGUGUGUGUGCGUGUGCGUGUGCGUGUGCGUGUGUAUGUGUGUGUGUGUGUGUGUGUGUGUGUGUUUAGAGGAGGAUGUCAUACAUGUGAAAUAAAUGAGUGGACAUGACACAUGCAUGUAAUGCACAUGCCAUCAAAAUAAGCAUGACUAUUCAGAAGAUGCGUUUUAUUUGUGAUUUGUGUACUGUCAUUACAAGCAACAAGAAAUAGACAUAGAUUAAUACCUCGAAGUUCUGACAAUACUGUGGCGAACUUUUGAAUAACAGCGCCAUCUGCUGUACAAACAUGGCAAUGUAUUUUGAAUUGAACUGAAGGUCAAAUAGAUGGAUUGUGGAUGAUGUCUUACAUAAUAUGUCUUUCAACAUGAACAAUUGUUCAUUCAUUAACUCAGUUCACAAGAAUACUUUUUUAUUAUAUUUGUAUUUCAUCAACACCAAGUAUUCAAUUAAUAUCUUAACAUUUAACAUCUUAACAGUGAAAACAUUGUGUAGAGGGCAAAGAUGGGGGUAAUGGGGAUGCAGCUCUUAACUUAUUGGUCAUCAGUGAGUUCAUUUCAACACAGAUUUGCGUAGUUAUGUUCGGUUCCAGGGUUUUCACUUGCUAACGAUUUCCUCAUCAACGUCUUCGGUGCGAGAUACCACCUUACCAUCCACAAUCUCCUCGAUCACCAUCUUGACUCUUUUGGUCACGA
Gadus macrocephalus (Pacific cod) is the source of this 803-nucleotide long non-coding RNA. RefSeq lists it as uncharacterized. The transcript has 2 exons. NCBI's taxonomy places the organism in Eukaryota, Metazoa, Chordata, Actinopteri, Gadiformes, Gadidae. The record is from RefSeq and is a predicted model, not a curated record.